Molecule: ribosomal RNA, 330 nt
Filed under: uncultured Glomeromycotina
Lineage: Eukaryota; Fungi; Glomeromycota
Description: partial large subunit ribosomal RNA
Source: RNAcentral
UUGAAAGGGAAACGAUUGAAGUCAGUGUACUUUGGGUAAUAGCUUUUGGGUGUGAUUUUGUGGAGUGUGGGGAGUUAAACGUUAUGCUGAUAUNGUAAUUUGGGUGUAUUUGNGGUGGUGAGUUAAAUCAAUUUUGGUGGUAUAAAAUGGGUGGAGGAAUGUAGUUGAUUGUAUUGAAGUGUUAUAGCUUGGUAGAUGUGAUUAUGGGAUUGAGGAUUGAAGGAUAACUUGGGGUANUGUNGAUUUGAUGUUGUUGGUGUGAAAGUUGCUUAUGGUNNNAAGUGAUGGUAAUAGGUUAGAAGGGUUAAAUUCGUUAAGGAUGUUGACGUA